AUAUGUCUUAUCAGAACAAGCUAACAUACAUUAAAUACUGUUACCAUGAGAAGGCUAACAAGAUCUAACAAGUACAAUGCAUUAUCAAGUAACUACCAAUCAACAGUCAUACAUCCUUUUAAUUAGGUAGUAUAGUUGCUUAUUUAUCUCAUACAGUUAGCUAAGUUGGUCGUACACAUAGCUAUUUAUUAAACGUUCUGAGCUAAGAAGGGAGUUCACAUUCAAUACCAAAGUAGUCACUUAACAAGAUGAAUCUAGUUUUGAAACUAUAUCAAAAUUGAAGAUCAAUCAUUAACAACAACGAACAGACAGUUUUAAGAUCAUUCAACAACAAUCAUACUUGAAAAUGUCGAGAAGGAAACAAGUGCUUACCUUUUAAUGUCGAUGAAGAUGUUGGUUUUCGUGGUUAUUUUGUCCUUAUAAUGCUUCUUCACUACUCACUCCUUAGGCCAGACAAGACAACCAUGUAAAGAACAAAGAAUUUGAAUAUUAGAGAAUCAUAAAACACAUGAAACAAAUUACAUUUACAGAAAAUUUAAUACUUGAAUUGUAAAGAUCUAUCAUUCACACUCUUUCUUCUUAAUCGAAAAUCGGAAUACAAAACCGAUAUCAUAAAACCCUAGAUCUAAAUCCUAAUUUCGAUUCCCAAUUAUAAACCCUAGAUCUAGAUCCUAAUUUCGAUUCCCAAUUAGAAACCCUAAUCGAUUAUCAAGACCCAACAAAACUGACAAAAUCAAGACAAAAACCAUACUACAACUCCAUUUACAAGACCUAACUCCCCAGAAACUUCUCGGAUUCCGAUUACAUAACUCCCCAUAAACUUCAAGGAUUCCGAUUACAUACCUAUUUGGGUCUGAAAUCGGCUUCGUUUGGGGGGUAUCGUUUCGCCGGAAGAUUGUAUAGCGGUGGAGAGGAGGAUGAAGCUUUCCAAUCGCCGGAAU
RNAcentral lists this long non-coding RNA (941 nucleotides) under Capsella rubella. RNAcentral describes it as "long non-coding RNA (CRUB_LNC004195)". The record is from RNAcentral. Lineage: Eukaryota; Viridiplantae; Streptophyta; Magnoliopsida; Brassicales; Brassicaceae.